Molecule: ribosomal RNA, 461 nt
Filed under: uncultured bacterium
Lineage: Bacteria
Description: bacterial SSU rRNA
Rfam family: Bacterial small subunit ribosomal RNA
Source: RNAcentral
AUGAACGUUGGCGGCGUGUCUAAGGCAUGCAAGUCGAGCGACGUGUUCCCGCAAGGGAAUUACGAGCGGCAGACGGGUGCGUAACACAUUGGUAAUCCACCUCCGAGACGGGGAUAGCUCGCCGAAAGGCGAGAUAACACCCGAUGGUCAUGCGGGGUCAUAUGACAUUCGCAUGUAAAAAUUUAUUGCUCGGAGAGGAGCCUAUGGCCUAUCAGCUAGUUGGUGAGGUAAAAGCUCACCAAGGCUAUGACGGGUAGGGGACGUGAGAGCGUGAUCCCCCUCACUGGGACUGAGACACUGCCCAGACUCCUACGGGAGGCUGCAGUCGAGAAUAUUCCGCAAUGGACGAAAGUCUGACGGAGCGACGCCGCGUGCAGGAAGACGCCCUUCGGGGUGUAAACUGCUUUUAGUAGGGAAGAAUUUGUGACGGUACCUACUGAAUAAGAGGUUGCUAACUCUGU